UACCCCGUGGUGUAAUUGGCAACACUCGAGUUUUUGAUACUCGCAUUCCAGGUUCAAGUCCUGGCGGGGUAA
RNAcentral lists this transfer RNA (72 nucleotides) under Planctomycetales bacterium 4572_13. RNAcentral's name for it is "tRNA-Gln". It matches the Rfam family "tRNA". From Rfam's summary of the family: Transfer RNA (tRNA) molecules are approximately 80 nucleotides in length. Their secondary structure includes four short double-helical elements and three loops (D, anti-codon, and T loops). The record is from RNAcentral. Lineage: Bacteria; Pseudomonadati; Planctomycetota; Planctomycetia; Planctomycetales. RNAcentral also lists the same sequence under 1 other name.